CUUUUAGCAUAAGUAUGUCCCAUGCAACUUUGGGGAUAUACUUAUACUAAAA
This 52-nucleotide microRNA precursor is filed under the name Equus asinus (donkey). RNAcentral's name for it is "mir-1302 microRNA precursor family". It matches the Rfam family "mir-1302 microRNA precursor family". RNAcentral also lists the same sequence under 1 other name. Lineage: Eukaryota; Metazoa; Chordata; Mammalia; Perissodactyla; Equidae. The record is from Rfam by way of RNAcentral.